UUCAUCUGACCGGGGUGCCUACACCGUGUGGGCUGAGAUCAUACCCGUUGAACCUGAUCUGGGUCAUGCCAGCGAAGGGAGGCUGUUCCAUAUGACA
RNAcentral lists this non-coding RNA (97 nucleotides) under Komagataeibacter medellinensis. Its description in RNAcentral is "TPP sequence". It matches the Rfam family "TPP riboswitch aptamer (THI element)". From Rfam's summary of the family: Vitamin B(1) in its active form thiamin pyrophosphate (TPP) is an essential coenzyme that is synthesised by coupling of pyrimidine and thiazole moieties in bacteria. The previously detected thiamin-regulatory element, thi box was extended, resulting in a new, highly conserved RNA secondary structure, the THI element, which is widely distributed in eubacteria and also occurs in some archaea. The record is from RNAcentral. Lineage: Bacteria; Pseudomonadati; Pseudomonadota; Alphaproteobacteria; Acetobacterales; Acetobacteraceae.